This 31-nucleotide ribosomal RNA is filed under the name Mucor racemosus f. racemosus. RNAcentral's name for it is "partial 28S ribosomal RNA". Lineage: Eukaryota; Fungi; Mucoromycota; Mucoromycetes; Mucorales; Mucoraceae. The record is from RNAcentral.
UUGAUCUGAAAUCAGGCGGGAUUACCCGCUG